GACGAACGCUGGCGGCGUGCUUAACACAUGCAAGUCGAGCGGUAAGGCCCUUUCGGGGGUACACGAGCGGCGAACGGGUGAGUAACACGUGGGUGACCUGCCCUCAGCUCUGGGAUAAGCCUGGGAAACCGGGUCUAAUACUGGAUAUGACUCCAUGACGCAUGUUGUGGGGUGGAAAGCCUUGUGCGGCUGAGGAUGGGCCCGCGGCCUAUCAGCUUGUUGGUGGGGUGANGGCCUACCAAGGCGACGACGGGUAGCCGGCCUGAGAGGGCGACCGGCACACUGGGACUGAGACACGGCCCAGACUCCUACGGGAGGCAGCAGUGGGGAAUCUUGCGCAAUGGGCGAAAGCCUGACGCAGCGACGCCGCGUGAGGGA
RNAcentral lists this ribosomal RNA (378 nucleotides) under uncultured bacterium. RNAcentral's name for it is "bacterial SSU rRNA". It matches the Rfam family "Bacterial small subunit ribosomal RNA", at positions 28 to 408 of the family's 1533-position model. The record is from RNAcentral.